Molecule: ribosomal RNA, 253 nt
Filed under: uncultured bacterium
Lineage: Bacteria
Description: partial 16S ribosomal RNA
Rfam family: Bacterial small subunit ribosomal RNA
Source: RNAcentral
UACGUAGGUGACCAGCGUUGUCCGGAUUUACUGGGCGUAAAGAGCGCGCAGGCGGUCGUUCAAGUCGAGUGUGAAAGCCCCCGGCUCAACUGGGGAGGGUCAUUCGAUACUGAUCGACUGGAAGGCAGGAGAGGGAAGCGGAAUUCCCGGUGUAGUGGUGAAAUGCGUAGAUAUCGGGAGGAACACCAGUGGCGAAGGCGGCUUCUUGGCCUGUUCUUGACGCUGAGGCGCGAAAGCUAGGGGAGCAAACGGG